This 459-nucleotide ribosomal RNA is filed under the name uncultured bacterium. Its description in RNAcentral is "partial 16S ribosomal RNA". It matches the Rfam family "Bacterial small subunit ribosomal RNA", at positions 339 to 795 of the family's 1533-position model. The record is from RNAcentral.
CUACGGGUGGCUCCAGUGAGGAAUAUUGGACAAUGGUCGAAAGACUGAUCCAGCCAUGCCGCGUGCAGGAUGACUGCCCUAUGGGUUGUAAACUGCUUUUAUACGGGAAGAAAAACACCUACGUGUAGGUGACUGACGGUACCGUAAGAAUAAGGACCGGCUAACUCCGUGCCAGCAGCCGCGGUAAUACGGAGGGUCCAAGCGUUAUCCGGAAUCAUUGGGUUUAAAGGGUCCGUAGGCGGGCUAUUAAGUCAGAGGUGAAAGUUUGCAGAUCAACUGUAAAAUUGCCUUUGAUACUUAUAGUCUUGAAUUGUAGUGAAGUGGUUAGAAUAUGUGGUGUAGCGGUGAAAUGCAUAGAUAUCACAUAGAAUACCGAUUGCGAAGGCAGAUCACUAACUAUAUAUUGACGCUGAGGGACGAAAGCGUGGGGAGCGAACGGGAUUAGAUACCCCCGUAGUC